This 71-nucleotide transfer RNA is filed under the name Ictidomys tridecemlineatus (thirteen-lined ground squirrel). RNAcentral describes it as "Spermophilus tridecemlineatus (thirteen-lined ground squirrel) tRNA". It matches the Rfam family "tRNA". From Rfam's summary of the family: Transfer RNA (tRNA) molecules are approximately 80 nucleotides in length. Their secondary structure includes four short double-helical elements and three loops (D, anti-codon, and T loops). The record is from Rfam by way of RNAcentral. Lineage: Eukaryota; Metazoa; Chordata; Mammalia; Rodentia; Sciuridae.
GAGGUGGUAGCUCAGUGAUAGAGCACUCAACUCACAUUUGUGAGGCACUGGGUUUAAUCCUUGGCACCACA